Molecule: ribosomal RNA, 497 nt
Filed under: uncultured bacterium
Lineage: Bacteria
Description: partial 16S ribosomal RNA
Rfam family: Bacterial small subunit ribosomal RNA
Source: RNAcentral
GAUGAACGCUGGCGGCGUGCCUAAUACAUGCAAGUCGAGCGAACAGACGAGGAGCUUGCUCCUCUGACGUUAGCGGCGGACGGGUGAGUAACACGUGGAUAACCUACCUAUAAGACUGGGAUAACUUCGGGAAACCGGAGCUAAUAUCGGAUAAUAUAUUGAACCGCAUGGUUCAAUAGUGAAAGACGGUUUUGCUGUCACUUAUAGAUGGAUCCGCGCCGCAUUAGCUAGUUGGUAAGGUAACGGCUUACCAAGGCGACGAUGCGUAGCCGACCUGAGAGGGUGAUCGGCCACACUGGAACUGAGACACGGUCCAGACUCCUACGGGAGUCAGCAGUAGGGAAUCUUCCGCAAUGGGCGAAAGCCUGACGGAGCAACGCCGCGUGAGUGAUGAAGGUCUUCGGAUCGUAAAACUCUGUUAUUAGGGAAGAACAAAUGUGUAAGUAACUAUGCACGUCUUGACGGUACCUAAUCAGAAAGCCACGGCUAACUACGUG